CCUACGGGGGGCAGCAGUGGGGAAUAUUGGACAAUGGGCGAAAGCCUGAUCCAGCCAUGCCGCGUGUGUGAAGAAGGCCUUCGGGUUGUAAAGCACUUUCAGUGGGGAAGAAAGCCUUGGGGCUAAUACCCUCGAGGAAGGACAUCACCCACAGAAGAAGCACCGGCUAACUCCGUGCCAGCAGCCGCGGUAAUACGGAGGGUGCGAGCGUUAAUCGGAAUUACUGGGCGUAAAGCGCGCGUAGGCGGUCUGAUAAGCCGGUUGUGAAAGCCCCGGGCUCAACCUGGGAACGGCAUCCGGAACUGUCAGGCUAGAAUGCAGGAGAGGAAGGUAGAAUUCCCGGUGUAGCGGUGAAAUGCGUAGAGAUCGGGAGGAAUACCAGUGGCGAAGGCGGCCUUCUGGACUGACACUGACGCUGAGGUGCGAAAGCGUGGGUAGCAAACAGGAUUAGAUACCCUGGUAGUC
Molecule: ribosomal RNA, 465 nt
Filed under: Vreelandella stevensii
Lineage: Bacteria; Pseudomonadati; Pseudomonadota; Gammaproteobacteria; Oceanospirillales; Halomonadaceae
Description: partial 16S ribosomal RNA
Rfam family: Bacterial small subunit ribosomal RNA
Source: RNAcentral